Non-coding RNA from Picea glauca (white spruce), 116 nucleotides. The record is from Rfam. Lineage: Eukaryota; Viridiplantae; Streptophyta; Pinopsida; Pinales; Pinaceae.
GCCUGCAUCAUAGCAUUAAUGCACCAAAUCCCAUUAGAACUUUGUAAUUAAGAACACUCAGAUAGAGUAGUACUGUGAUGGGUGACCACCCGAGAAGUCCUAGUGUUUUACAUGCC